RNAcentral lists this ribosomal RNA (253 nucleotides) under uncultured bacterium. RNAcentral's name for it is "partial 16S ribosomal RNA". It matches the Rfam family "Bacterial small subunit ribosomal RNA", at positions 524 to 776 of the family's 1533-position model. The record is from RNAcentral.
UACGUAGGGCGCAAGCGUUGUCCGGAAUUAUUGGGCGUAAAGAGCUCGUAGGCGGUCUGUCGCGUCGGCUGUGAAAACCCGAGGCUCAACCUCGGGCCUGCAGUCGAUACGGGCAGACUAGAGUGCUGUAGGGGAGACUGGAAUUCCUGGUGUAGCGGUGAAAUGCGUAGAUAUCGGGGGGAACAUCAGUGGCGAAAGCGGCACCCUGGCAUUUGCCUGACGCUCAUGUGCGAAAGCGUGGGGAGCGAACGGG